This 780-nucleotide ribosomal RNA is filed under the name uncultured Neocallimastigales. RNAcentral's name for it is "partial large subunit ribosomal RNA". It matches the Rfam family "Eukaryotic large subunit ribosomal RNA", at positions 26 to 635 of the family's 3401-position model. Lineage: Eukaryota; Fungi; Neocallimastigomycota; Neocallimastigomycetes; Neocallimastigales. The record is from RNAcentral.
CGUCUAUAUACGUAUAGCAUAUCAAUAAGCGGAGGAAAAGAAACUAACAAGGAUUCCCCUAGUAACGGCGAGUGAAGCGGGAAGAGCUCAAAUUUGAAAUCUUAAAGGGUUUCCCUUUAAGAAUUGUAGUUUAAAGAAGUGUUUUCUGUUGGAGUUUCGGUAAAAGUUCUUUGGAAUAGGACAUCAUAGAGGGUGAGAAUCCCGUAUUUGACCGUUACUUUCCAGCUGUGUGAUACACUUUCAAAGAGUCGGAUUGUUUGGGAAUGCAGUCCAAAAUGGGUGGUAAAUUUCAUCUAAAGCUAAAUAUUGGCGAGAGACCGGUAGCGAACAAGUACCGUGAGGGAAAGAUGAAAAGAACUUUGAAAAGAGAGUUAAACAGUACGUGAAAUUGUCAAAAGGGAAGCGUUUGACACCAGUGUUGUAUAGUUGAAAAUCAAUUCAAUAAGUUUUUGAUUUUGAAGUAGUAUUGACUUUAUCAGCUUGCUGCUUUUUUUUCAGGAAUUAUUGAAUGCACUUUUCAGUUAACAAGUCAACAUCAAUUUCUUUUGUUGUAAAAGGGUAAGAGGAAGGUGGCUUACGUUUCGGCGUAAGUGUUUAUAGCCUUUUACCUCUGCAAUCGGAGAGAUUUGAGGACAGCAGCGUAGACUCCUUCUGGGGUUAGAUACACUUGUGCUAAGCUAUAGCCUUGUAUAGACGACUUGUUGACUAUGCUCAGUCAUGUAGUUUACUCGCUUGUGCUAUUUUACCUACGCUUAGGAUGUUGAUAUGCAUGACUGAUAU